UACAGGCAUACGCCACCGCACCUGGCCCAAAUUAUUAAUUGUACGUAUUCUCAUUGUUCUGCUUCUUCCAAGAAAACUGAAGUCACGGUAUUCUGAAGACUAGAGAUGAUUCAACAGGCUGUGAAUCUAUUCCAUUUGGAAUCCUACUGGGCCUGAUCUGUUUUCCAUUGCCAAGGCACUGCUGUUUAAGCUAUACCAUAUGAAGCACCCUCCCUAAAGGCUCAGGGGCCAUAGUGAAAGAGGACACAUGGGAUUGUAAGAGCCAGAUUAUGGGGGUGGAGGGUAAAGGCUGAAGCAAGUCCAUCUUGGAUGCUAACUCACUAUGUUAGCUUCUGAUUAACCCCAGUUCCAGGAAGGCUGCUGAAAUUUCCAGUUUAUGUGUUGUUCCUUGUGUAAGAGCAUGGACUUACUGCAAAUCCUGCCCUUAGGGCAAAUUCCUACCUAUUCCUGCGGAAGCAUGUGUAUCAUUCCCCUAUGGUUUAUAACCCCUGAGUCUGGGGGUAAUGGCACGGGGACCCACCAGCUUGUCUGCCGCCAUCUGGGGUACAGUGCUGGAAGCGGGGAUACAGGGACAAAUAAGACACAGAUCCUGUUCCUAAAGAGAGUCUUUUCUAAGGCACCAACUACUUCCUUCAAGCAGCAGCCAGAGAUCUUUGCUUAAUGGCUGAGAAACACAGAGGAGAGACCCAGAGAGAAGGAGAAGGCCGCAUGAAGAUGGAGCAGAGACUGGAGUUAUUCAGCCAAGUCAAGGAAUGCCUGGAGCACCAGAAGCCGGAAGAGGCAAGGAAGGAUCCUCCCUUAGAGCAUUUGGAAGAGUGUGGCCCUGCCAACACCUUGACUUCAAACUUCUGGCCUCCAUAACUAUGAAAUAAAUUCUUGUUGUUUUAAGCCACCAAGUUUGUGGUAACUUCUUACAGCAACCCUAGGAAAUUAACACACAGAGUGUCAGUUACCUAAACAUUGUGAGCCUCAGUUACCUUAUCUGAAAAUGGGGCUAAAACUUAGACCUACCUUUUAGGGCUGCUUUAAGGAGUAAUAGAAAUUAUACAUGGGAAUUACAUGGCACCAAGUUGUUCCUUAAUAGAGGGAAACUGUUAUGAUGGCGGAAGAGCAGUAAUGAAAUACUGAAUUCAUCCAGCAGAUGGCAGAAGAUGGAUUUGCAAACAAGAGGACUUCAUAAGGUUUGCUGCCCAGCAAUGCAGCUCCAGGCCUAAAGUAGCCUUCCUAGCUCACAGACUGAUGAGGAUUAACCCUCGCCAACUCAAGUGUGCUCUCAGCUCUGUAGAAACUAAACUAAUUCUGUUUUCCUUUGACCAUUGUACACCACAGAGGCUGGCAAUGGAGAAUAUAAAGAGUGGUGCAACAGAAAAUACCUGGGUUCUAGGCUCAGCUCUGUCACCUCAUUAGGAUUCAGUUUGCCCAUCUGUAAAGUAGUGACAAGAUGAAAUACCAAGUGUAACGUAAUUAAAGGGCUGUUGUGAUACCAAAAUAACAUAAUGUGUAAAAGUGCUAAAAACAAGAUGCCAUAAAGCACAGAAGGGGCCCAGGAGAGAUUAAUUCAUGGAGAACUUACUCGUUUUUUUGAGACAGAGUCUCACUGUGUUGCUCAGGCUGCAGUGCAGUGGCGCGAUCUCAGCUAAC
This 1641-nucleotide long non-coding RNA is filed under the name Homo sapiens (human). RNAcentral's name for it is "HSALNT0292945". Lineage: Eukaryota; Metazoa; Chordata; Mammalia; Primates; Hominidae. The record is from RNAcentral.